GACGAACGCUGGCGGCGUGCUUAACACAUGCAAGUCGAACGGAAAGGCCCUGCUUGCAGGGUACUCGAGUGGCGAACGGGUGAGUAACACGUGGGUGAUCUGCCCUGCACUUCGGGAUAAGCUUGGGAAACUGGGUCUAAUACCGGAUAGGAGCCAUCUUUAGUGUGGUGGUUGGAAAGUUUUUUCGGUGUAGGAUGAGCUCGCGGCCUAUCAGCUUGUUGGUGGGGUAAUGGCCUACCAAGGCGGCGACGGGUAGCCGGCCUGAGAGGGUGUACGGCCACAUUGGGACUGAGAUACGGCCCAGACUCCUACGGGAGGCAGCAGUGGGGAAUAUUGCACAAUGGGCGCAAGCCUGAUGCAGCGACGCCGCGUGGGGGAUGAAGGCCUUCGGGCUGUAAACUCCUUUCGCUAGGGACGAAGCUUUGUUGUGACGGUACCUAGAUAAGAAGCACCGGCUAACUACGUG
Molecule: ribosomal RNA, 466 nt
Filed under: uncultured bacterium
Lineage: Bacteria
Description: partial 16S ribosomal RNA
Rfam family: Bacterial small subunit ribosomal RNA
Source: RNAcentral